GACGAACGCUGGCGGCGUGCCUAAUACAUGCAAGUAGAACGCUGAAGAGAGGAGCUUGCUCUUCUUGGAUGAGUUGCGAACGGGUGAGUAACGCGUAGGUAACCUGCCUUGUAGCGGGGGAUAACUAUUGGAAACGAUAGCUAAUACCGCAUAACAAUGGAUGACACAUGUCAUUUAUUUGAAAGGGGCAAUUGCUCCACUACAAGAUGGACCUGCGUUGUAUUAGCUAGUAGGUGGGGUAAUGGCUCACCUAGGCGACGAUACAUAGCCGACCUGAGAGGGUGAUCGGCCACACUGGGACUGAGACACGGCCCAGACUCCUACGGGAGGCAGCAGUAGGGAAUCUUCGGCAAUGGGGGCAACCCUGACCGAGCAACGCCGCGUGAGUGAAGAAGGUUUUCGGAUCGUAAAGCUCUGUUGUAAGUCAAGAACGGGUGUGAGAGUGGAAAGUUCACACUGUGACGGUAGCUUACCAGAAAGGGACGGCUAACUACGUGCCAGCAGCCGCGGUAAUACGUGGGUCCCGAGCGUUGUCCGGAUUUAUUGGGCGUAAAGCGAGCGCAGGCGGUUUGAUAAGUCUGAAGUUAAAGGCUGUGGCUCAACCAUAGUUCGCUUUGGAAACUGUCAAACUUGAGUGCAGAAGGGGAGAGUGGAAUUCCAUGUGUAGCGGUGAAAUGCGUAGAUAUAUGGAGGAACACCGGUGGCGAAAGCGGCUCUCUGGUCUGUAACUGACGCUGAGGCUCGAAAGCGUGGGGAGCGAACAGGAUUAGAUACCCUGGUAGUCCACGCCGUAAACGAUGAGUGCUAGGUGUUGGAUCCUUUCCGGGAUUCAGUGCCGCAGCUAACGCAUUAAGCACUCCGCCUGGGGAGUACGACCGCAAGGUUGAAACUCAAAGGAAUUGACGGGGGCCCGCACAAGCGGUGGAGCAUGUGGUUUAAUUCGAAGCAACGCGAAGAACCUUACCAGGUCUUGACAUCCCGAUGCUAUUUCUAGAGAUAGAAAGUUACUUCGGUACAUCGGUGACAGGUGGUGCAUGGUUGUCGUCAGCUCGUGUCGUGAGAUGUUGGGUUAAGUCCCGCAACGAGCGCAACCCCUAUUGUUAGUUGCCAUCAUUCAGUUGGGCACUCUAGCGAGACUGCCGGUAAUAAACCGGAGGAAGGUGGGGAUGACGUCAAAUCAUCAUGCCCCUUAUGACCUGGGCUACACACGUGCUACAAUGGUUGGUACAACGAGUUGCGAGUCGGUGACGGCGAGCUAAUCUCUUAAAGCCAAUCUCAGUUCGGAUUGUAGGCUGCAACUCGCCUACAUGAAGUCGGAAUCGCUAGUAAUCGCGGAUCAGCACGCCGCGGUGAAUACGUUCCCGGGCCU
Molecule: ribosomal RNA, 1369 nt
Filed under: uncultured bacterium
Lineage: Bacteria
Description: bacterial SSU rRNA
Rfam family: Bacterial small subunit ribosomal RNA
Source: RNAcentral